Papio anubis (olive baboon) is the source of this 3535-nucleotide long non-coding RNA. NCBI's taxonomy places the organism in Eukaryota, Metazoa, Chordata, Mammalia, Primates, Cercopithecidae. The record is from Ensembl.
AUGGCUCAAGCCAGAAAAGCAGACAGAAGACUAGGGGAAGCUCUUCCGCCUCCUGGGAUCCGCACACUGCCAGCCAGGCCUGGGACAGUGCUCACCCCUCGCCUCCCAGCCCUGGGAGAAGAGUCUGAAGCCUCACAUCAUCACGCCACCCCCAUGUCCACACCUGCCGCGCACCUGUGCCCUCCCAGGAAUCCCCACACAGGCCCUUCUCCGCGCAGUCUGGCAGCGCUGCCCGCUUCCACUGCCUGCCGCCCCACCGCCCCCACCCGCCCCCCAGCCUGUUUCCCACGAUCCCUCCCUCCCAGUCCAAUCGCACCUCUGCUUCACCUGUCCCAUCAGACCUGCCCUCAGCCUGCCCCAUCCUCUCCUCCCAGGCCAACUCGUGCUGUUUGCUGUUCCAGGAAGCCUCCGGGAGCUGCCCGUAGGCCCCGGGCCGGCUGUCUCGCUGUGAUGCUCUGCUGGUGGCGGACGGACCCUGCCUCCCCAGCUUAUCCCAGGCCAGAGGCUGCAUGCCACUGUCCCCGGCAGCACCAGCCCCUGCUUGGCUGUUAUGGUGCUGGUAAUAAGCCCCGCAGCCCAGGUCCAGGGCCUCCGGCGCGCAGGUCCCAUAACCGGCCCCCGGCCCGUGCCCCUCCCACUCAGGCCCCUCCUCCUGCAAACCCCGCUCCCGAAGCGGUGCUGCCGUCUGCGGCCACGCGGGGGCACGCGGGAGCUCUGCGGGCGCGGGGAUCUGCAGACCCGGCCUCGGUCACCUGGGAAGGGCCCGCCCCGGCACAAAGCACCCGUGGGAAUAAAGGCCAAGCCGCGACAGUCAGCACAGGGGAGCCUCUUCCCUAAAGCCUGCUGGUUUCCCGACGGUCCCACCAUUGGCCCCAGCGCGGGAUAAAUCUCUAACUCCUUGCCAGGCUUCACAAGCCCCAGGGACCCCUCCAUUCUCGUUAGGGGUGGGCCCUGGUUGGACGGCUGCCCAGUCCUGGAAAAGGGGUGAGUUUCCUAAAAGGAAGGGGGGAAGGCAUGAGGAGGCUUUUUUGAACGACAAGGGAAGCAGCAUCUGUAAGCCACAGUGCUCAGCAAGAAAUCACGUUAAACAAGGCGGAAACACCGCAAAGAAAGUCGCGCGGAUUGGCUCUGACACGGGACGGGGGUGGCCGUGGCCAGGAGCCGAGAGACCCUUCGGUUAAGAGCACAGGCUUUGGAGUCAGAUCAACUCAUGUUCCAGCCCUGGCCCCCCACCAAAUGCUGUGGCAUUGGCAAAGCAGUUGACCCUCCCCAGCCUCAGUUUCCUCAUCUGAAAAAGGGAGAUAAUGAGGAUCAUGCCCACCUCCCUGGGGUACCUGAGAGUGAGGUGGGCACAUUGCGGGGAGGUUGGCACAGAGGCUGGCCCCAAGCAGGUGCUCAAGAAUGGCAGCCCCUGGGAGGAUUAAAGUCCUGCCCUGGGAGGUGCUGGGUUUGUCAGUGCCACUCCGCAGAGUAAACCAGCUGGGACACUGGGAGACACAGGCUUUGAAGUCUGAGUUUGUCAGAUCUGCCUAUUUCCCUGCCUCCAAAGCCCGUGGCCCCCAGCCCCCACCCCCACCCGGGGUCUCCUGCCUCUGCCUGUGGCUUCAGCUCCAUGGAAUCUCCAGGGCCCAUCCCAGCCUGCUCUCCGCAGCAGCCUGACCGGAAGCCCUGCCUCAGCCUGAAGAGCCUGGACUUUGGUCUGGCCUGUGGGCCCCCUGGCCCACAAUCCAAUUGCUCUUCCUGGAAGGACUGCCCCGGUCCCCAUGCCAGUGCCUGCAGCCACACCCCAUGACACCCAGGCCAGCCACCCACCUGCACAAGCUCUGGCUUUGUGGCUGGGCCGGGGUUAGAGGCGGGGGACCCUCCCUGGACAGACCCAAUUCCAGUCUCAGCCGGCCUGAGCCUGCCCCCUGCCCAGCCAGAGGAGACCAGGUAGAGUCCACAUCCACGUCCUCGGAGUGAGGAGCACUCACGGGUGCUGGCAUUGCCACUGCCCGGUCUCCAAGAGAAGCCCUGCCUUCCUCUGAGCCCCCCGACCACCACCACCACGUUUGCUCAGCCCUGUUCGUCAGCGUGGCAGGGGUUAGGCCAACAGGAGCUGUGAGAAUUGCUUCAUCCACAGAAGAAGAAAAGAAACAGAGAGGAGAAAGAGAGGAGAGAGAGGAAAAUAACCAAGUCUGUCUCACAUUCAGUAUUCCAUUACCCCAGAUGUCUGGUGUCACAAAGGCACCGAGAGUCCUGGUGGCUGACCGAGCACUCGCUGAUGGAGCUUCGGGGGUCAGGAGCAGGGGGCUGAGGCCUGGCUGCAUGCACGGGGGGCUGAUUUUCCUAUCCGUGCAGCCCUGGGUGUCAAAUGUCAGGGGUGCCGCCCUGAGCAGCACAGUCCCAGUACAAAUCCAGCUCCCCUCUCCAACACCUGCUCUGUGGUCCUGGGCAAGUUGCUAACGUCUCUGGGCCUGUCCUCCUCUGUAAAUCCAGGACCAGUGGCAGGACCUGUCUCAUAGGGUGGUCUCAGUGAUAACAUGAGUUAAUAUUCACAAACAGCUGCGGAUAGGGCCUGGUACAUGGAAGGCCUGGGUAUUAUUAGGAAGAGACAGGGCGGCAAUUACCUUGUAUCAAAUCGUGAGAAUGUCAUUCACUCUUUUAGACCCACCUCCAAGCCUUCUUGCUUCUCUAGCAGAACGUUUCUGGUCCAUGAACCCCACCCCUAACAGGUGUCUUCUGUGACAUGAAGAGAGGCACCAGGCUCAGAGCUCUGGCAGCCAAGCAACAGCAUAGGAUGGACGGUUGCCACAGCUUGAUUUGCCUUGUAUUUGUUUCUAUAAUCACCUUCAAUUUUUGGUUAGUGCUACUUAUUUUUCAUUGACAUCUGUUUUUUCUUUUUCCUUUUUAAAAUUAACUUAAGCGAUUUUUUUUUUUUUUUUUUUUUUUUUUUUUUUUUUUUUUUUGAGACAGUUUCGCUCUUGUUACCCAGGCUGGAGUGCAAAAGCACAAUCUCGGCUUGCUGCAACCUCCGCCUCCGGGUUCAAGCAAUUCUCCUGCCUCAGCCUCCCGAGUAGUGUCGUGUGCCACUACGCCAGGCGAAUGUUUGUAUUUUUAAUAGAGACGGGGUUUCACCAUGUUGUCCAGGCUUGUCUCAAACUCCUGACCUCAGCUGAUCCGCCCCGCCCACCCUGGCCUCCCAAAGUGUUGGGAUUACAGGCAUGAGCCACCACGCCCAGCCUAACUUAAGGGAUCUCUUGAUGUUCCUUAAAAAAGUCUUUUUUUCUUUUUUUUUUUUUUUUUUUUUUUGAGACAGAGUCUCACUCUGUCACUCAGACUGAAGUGCAGUGGCGCAAUCUCAGCUCACUGCAAUCUCCACUUUCCAGGCUUAGGUGAUCCUCCUGCCUUAGCCUCCCAAGUAGCUAGGACUACAGGUGCCUGCCACCUGUAAUUAUCAGCAUACCCAGCUAAUAUUUGUAUUUUUAGUAGAGAUUGGGUUUCACACUGGUCACCAAAUCCUGACCUCAAGUGAUCCACCCACUUUGGCCUCCCA